CCUACGGGAGGCAGCAGUAGGGAAUAUUGGGCAAUGGCGGAAACGCUGACCCAGCGAUGCCGCGUGCCGGAAGAAGGCGCUCAGCGUUGUAAACGGCUUUUGCCAGGGAAGAAAAGCGGGUACGCGUACCCGAAUCGACGGUACCUGGUGAAUAAGCACCGGCUAACUCCGUGCCAGCAGCCGCGGUAAUACGGAGGGUGCAAGCGUUGUCCGGAUUUAUUGGGUUUAAAGGGUGCGUAGGUGGCUUUUUAAGUCCGGGGUGAAAGGCAGUGGCUCAACCACUUGCAGUGCCCUGGAUACUGAGAGGCUCGAGUAAGUUUGAGGCCGGUGGAACGGGUGGUGUAGCGGUGAAAUGCAUAGAUACCAUCCAGAACACCGAUUGCGGAGGCAGCCGGCUAAGACUUCCACUGACACUGAGGCACGAAAGCGCGGGGAGCAAA
Molecule: ribosomal RNA, 440 nt
Filed under: uncultured bacterium
Lineage: Bacteria
Description: bacterial SSU rRNA
Rfam family: Bacterial small subunit ribosomal RNA
Source: RNAcentral